GACAGAGGUGCCGAGCGUUAGGCGGAAUCACUGGGCUUAAAGCGUGUGUAGGCGGAUCGUUAAGUGCCUUGUGAAAUCCCACGGCUCAACUGUGGAACUGCUUGGCAUACUGGCGAUCUUGAGCCACUUAGGGGCUACCGGAACAAAUGGUGGAGCGGUGAAAUGCGUAGAUAUCAUUUGGAACGCCAAUGGUGAAAACAGGUAGCUGGGAGUGUGCUGACGCUGAGACACGAAAGCCAGGGGAGCAAACGGG
RNAcentral lists this ribosomal RNA (253 nucleotides) under uncultured bacterium. RNAcentral's name for it is "partial 16S ribosomal RNA". It matches the Rfam family "Bacterial small subunit ribosomal RNA", at positions 524 to 776 of the family's 1533-position model. The record is from RNAcentral.